Scylla paramamosain (green mud crab) is the source of this 3604-nucleotide RNA transcript. It is a transcript of the gene named calcitonin gene-related peptide type 1 receptor-like, with no coding region annotated. NCBI's taxonomy places the organism in Eukaryota, Metazoa, Arthropoda, Malacostraca, Decapoda, Portunidae. The record is from RefSeq and is a predicted model, not a curated record. The transcript has 13 exons.
GAGAAACUCACAUGGAACAACAAAUGUGCUGCUGCUGCUUGUUCUUCCUUAGUAUUCCUUCUUUUGUGACACGGAAAUAGUACAAAGCCGCGUUACGUCACCACAAUGGGAUCAAAUAGCGCGGCCGACAGUCACGAGAAAGCGCGCUACCUCCCGUUACCGAGAAAUUACCGCGAGCCAGUAUCGAACCGGGAAGACCGCGCAAGCACCGUACCAGAGAGUCACCGAGAUCCUAUCCUCUUUACUGCCUUCCGUCUCCUGCUCUGAUUGCGUAGAUAGUGUAGCUUAUCGCAAACAGCCUCGUGAGGGCCAAAAGGUGUGCUGGUGUUUGUGUUUCCUUUGCGUUCAGUGGUGAUGGUGGUGGUGGCUGUAGUAGUAGUAGUAGUAGUAGUAGUAGUAGUAGUAGUAGUAGUCAAACAACCUCUCAAGGUACAACAGGUCUGCUGCUGCCUGCCCUUCCUCAUCGUUCCUCGAGACUUGUGGAUGAACAGGGCGUGUGAAAGGGCAGGUGACGGGCGUGAGGCGGCGUGGCACUGGACGGCACUGGGGCGUGGGGGAUGCGAUGCCAGGCGGGCGGCGGGGUCGUGAGCGAGGCGAGGCGAGGCGAGGCGGGUGGCUGGCUGGUGUGCGCUACUCUCUCUCUCUCUCUCAGUCACCCGCGAGGCACCGUAGAGGAAGGGCCACACCUGCCACUCUCCGCCAGCAACAAGUUAACGGGUGCCGCCGCCAGCCCGCUCUGGGAACACGUGAGCACCGCACUGACCACCACCACGCGACCUCCCAACCCGCACAGCAGUCCGCGCCCUCAGCGACCUGCAGGCGUGGUGAACUUAGCGCAGAACUAAGAAACUUCACGACAGACGCUGCAAAAAGUUGGCCUAAGUUGUGUUUUGGUGUUUUAGAAGCGAGGCGGCGUGGUUUGGGUGAGGCGCCGCGCCCUCACGACCCCUCAUGACCUGGGCCAGGCGCUGAGGCGAGGGACGCACACACGCACACGCACACGCACGCAACUCGCCGCCCGCAAUAGAACAACGCAGACGUGGCCACGCACCGCAGAGGGACGGAGCGAGAGAUUGAGAGCGAGAUAAAGUGAGCGAGACAGAGAGAGAGAGAGAGGAGGGAGAGAAGCUCAAAGUGUAUGUGAGGGAGAAAAGAUCCCACCUUCCUCCUCCUCUUCCUCAUCCUCCCUGUUCUCCUCCACCUCCAAAAUUCCUCGCGGUGUGGAGGGAAAGCCGCGCCCCACGCACCUGGAUACGCCGCCGCACCUGUACGAGAGAUGGAAGGCAACGCAACAGACACGGACUUAGGCUGGGAGGAGAGGGGCCUAAACUCCUCCAGCUCCUCGGCAGAAGAGGGAGAGAAGUUUUUCAUCACAAAUCCAGCAGUGGAGCAGAAGAAGGAGGAAUGUGAUGAGCUGCAUGCACAGAUCCCUCUCCCUGACCCUGCCCUGGGUCCCUACUGCCCAAGGACCUUCGAUGGAUGGGCGUGCUGGAACGACACCCCGGCCAACUCCAGGGUCCACGCGCCCUGCCCUGAUUUCAUCCCAGGCUUCAACCCUUCCCUGUUGGCCUACAAGGAUUGUGACGCGAACGGGACGUGGUUCAAACACCCGGACACCAACGAGCCCUGGUCCAACUACACGACCUGUGUGGACCAUGGACAGCUGGGGCUGCUGCAGAGUGUGAACAACCUGUACAUCGCCGGUUACUCCAUCUCCCUCAUCGCCCUGUGCUGCUCCCUCUUCAUCUUCUGCUUCUUCAAGUCUCUCAAGUGCAAGCGGGUGACGAUCCACAAAAACCUGUUCGUGAGUUUCAUCAUCAACAACGCCAUGUGGCUCAUCUGGUACAAGUGUGUGGUGGAAGACACGAACGUCCUCUUCAUGAACACCGGUCUCUGCCAAGCCCUACACGUCGUGCUGCAAUACUUCCUCGUGUCCAACUACUUCUGGAUGUUCUGCGAGGGUCUCUACCUGCACACCCUCCUUGUGGUGGCCUUCGUGGCUGAGGACAGAAUUAUGAAGUGGUUUUUCCUCCUCGGCUGGGGGAUUCCGGCUGUCCUCAUCACUUUCUACGCAAUAUUCCGAGGCAUCAGCAAGGAACAUAACAAGCACUGCUGGAUGAGCGAAGGACCUUACAACCACAUCCUGAACGUGCCUGUGGUGCUGUCCAUGCUGCUCAACCUCUUCUUCCUCAUCAACAUCGUGAGGGUGCUGGUGACUAAGCUACGUGCUGUCAACACUGGCCCGGACACUCACUCCACCCGCAAGGCUGUCCGCGCCACUCUCAUCCUCAUCCCCCUGCUGGGCCUUCACUACAUUCUGGUGCCCUUCCGCCCCCCCGAGGGAUCCCCAGGCCACGGCGUUUACCUGAUCGUGUCCGCCGUUGCUGCUUCCUUCCAGGGCUUGGGCGUGUCUCUGCUGUUCUGCUUCUUCAAUGGCGAGGUCCUCGGUAUCUUCAAGAAAAAGUGGAACCAACACAAGCUGAUGAAGGACCGGACCAAACUCCACGGGCGCCAUGACCUUCUCGAUGGACACGAUAACAGGACACCCUAGCUUGUGUCCCUCCUCAAACAUGUAAGGUAGGAAGAUGGAGCCUCGGUGCAGCCUGCCUGCCCUGUGUCCCGUGCCUGCCGGAGUGUGUCUGCCCUUGCCAACCCCGUGUGAGAUGCCCUGGAUGUGGUGUUUAUAUUGGAGACUACUGUGUGUGGCUCUCCCUCUCUCUCUCUUUCUGACUGUCUCUCUCUCUGUGUCUGUCUCUCUCUGAUUUUUUUUUUUCUGUAUUCGUUUGUUUAUUUCUUUUAUUCAUUUGUUCAUUUAUUUUUCAGAAUCAAAAGACUUUUCAGAGUUUCUUAAACUUUUUUCCGACGGGUCUCAGCUCCCCCUCCUCGGUAGUCAUAUCUAGGAAGUCCAGCACACACUAACACUGUCUGCCGUCUGCUGCCACAAGGAUAAAGUAACGUACAUGAAGUCAAGCAUGACGGACGGCAACACCACUGUCACCAACUACGGGACCACUAUUGAGGGGGAUGACGUGUAAGGAGCCACGCCUCGCCACACAGCCGCGGGGAGGACGAGGAGACGAGGACGGGGAUAAGACCUGCAGCACACUAUCAAAGAAGUAUGGAAGAAAACGAGGUUGAGGGUGAGCGAAGAAGAAAUACGAAGAAAUAGGAAGAAAUAGAGAAACAAGCACCAAAGAAUUAGACAGACGAGUGUGAGGAUGAGAGAAUAAACAGGAGGAGAUAGAAAGAAUAGAAAAGGUAUGGAGAGACGAGAAGAAUGAAAGAAAACGAGGGUGAGGAUGAGAGAAGAAGAAAUAAGAAUAAAUUAGAAAGAAACAGCGCCAAACUAUCAGACAAACGAGAGUGAGGAUGAAAAAAAUAAGCAGGAGGAAGAGAGAAAGAGCAGAAAAGGUAUGAACAAACGAGGGUGAGGAUGAGAGAAAUGCAAAGACAAAGAAGAACUGAUCUACGCAAUGAGGAUGAGAAAAAAAAAUAGAUGAAAAAUAUAAACUUGCAUCAAAUUAUUAGAAGAUGAAAAGGACAGUGAGAAUGAUGAGUAUGAGAACUGACAAGACAUAGUAAAAAAAGUGAAAUACGCAACGAA